GCUGGGAUAGCUCAGUUGGUAGAGCAUGAGAUUCUGAAUCUCAAGUUCAUGAGUCUAAAUGCUUCUCUAAAUGUCAAUA
This is a non-coding RNA of Podarcis lilfordi (Lilford's wall lizard), 79 nucleotides long. The record is from the annotation of a GenBank genome assembly. NCBI's taxonomy places the organism in Eukaryota, Metazoa, Chordata, Lepidosauria, Squamata, Lacertidae.